This 138-nucleotide ribosomal RNA is filed under the name uncultured bacterium. RNAcentral's name for it is "partial 16S ribosomal RNA". It matches the Rfam family "Bacterial small subunit ribosomal RNA", at positions 391 to 521 of the family's 1533-position model. The record is from RNAcentral.
GCCAUGCCGCGUGUGUGAAGAAGGCCUUAUGGUUGUAAAGCACUUUAAGCGAGGAGGAGGCUCCCGUAGCUAAUAUCUACGGAGAGUGGACGUUACUCGCAGAAUAAGCCCGGCUAACUCUGUGCCAGCAGCCGCGGU